AUGAAGCCUUUGCCCCUUCUGGUGCUCCUUGUGCUGGUGCCCUUGGCAUGGGGACCAGCACCCAGGGGGCUGCUGAGCCCCCCCUGUGGGGCUGCUGGUGCUGCCCCGGGGGGUUGUGGAUCCUGCCCAGAGCAUCGGGAUGUGAAACCAGGGGCAGAGUUUCCAUGGGUAAUGGCAUACGCAUCUAUGAGAAGCUGCCACAGAGUCCUGAGGGAUGCCUAUGGGGAGUUUUCUCCUCCUGCAUAUUGUAGUGAUUCUCCAAUGAACUUCUGGUGCAACUGGACAAUCUGGGCAGGCCCUAGAAAGCAUAUAAUAAUUUACAUCCAGGGCUUUACCACUAAGGAAGGUUGUAACAAAAAUGAGGACAAAAUCCUCUUCGAAGGAGUUUCUUCACUGGUGGAAAACAGCGUGGUUUAUGCUUGCUGGAAGAAGGAGACGCAUGUUUUUGCCACCUUUGCUCGGGCUGUCCAUGUCGUGCUGCUGAAGAGAAGGGCAAGCCAAGACAGUGUUGAUACCACCACAUACCAGGGGCUUGGAACAGCUGGUUUGGAGGAGAACAAGAGCCAGGAGGAGGACAAAAGCCAUGGAGCAGCAAGAGGUGAUGCUGAUGGCCUUGCGAAGGGCCUGACGCCUAGCCUGAGUACCCCGUACCAAGUGGUGAGAAAGGACAGCUCGCAGAUGCCACCUGAGAGAAGCCAAAGCAGUUUUGAGGGUUUGUCCACAACUCAACCCGACCUGGGAACGACCAGCCUCCAGCAUACGAAGCUGAUGGGUAUUUCCCCCCCUGAAAUAAAAAAAAUCCCCACACCAGCCCUCUCUCACCCUGACCACGUCCCUGCAGGCUUUGGAUCUGGCAAUUUCGCCCCCAAGGAUCCUCUUUCUUCACAAGUGGAGGCUGUCUCCAGGGCAGUCUCACCUCCAGCAGUAGCUCUGGGUUCGGAUCCUGUCAGGAGAAGGGCAGGCACCCCACCACCUGUCCAUGGAGGACAGGAGGUGUUCUCCCCAUCACCACCUCGCCAUCUGUCAGCAGCCCCUGCGCUGGGUGCAGAUGUGUCCCCUGGCCCCCUUGGCCUUGAGAUGAGCAAACGGGUGCUGGAGGAGGGUGGCCAGCGAGAAGAAACCCCAGCUCCUGCAGGCUUGCCAGCCAGGGGUCCCUCUGUGGCCUCCAUCCCCAGCCCGAGGCCCGUCACAGGCCUUCCUUGUCCCCAGCACCAGAAAAACACAGAAGGCCUCCGAGCAGGUGCAGGUGAGCAGAGAAAUGCCUCGAGCCAUCGUCACUCCAGUCCUCCUGUGACCCCGCAGGGACAAACAGUGCUGCAAGGCCAGGAGCUGCAGCAGCCCUCCAGCGACCCCUUGUCCAGAAAGACAUGGAUGCUAGGAGGACAGCAACAACAACACGCUGAGCUGGGACUGCCCUGGGCAACAGAGUACUUCCCCGCCAGGAGAUGCCACGUCGUCUUUCAGGGUGGGUUUGGGAUGUUCUACCUCCCCCCACAUGGCGACAUUAAAGCCAACAUCUGGUGCAACUGGACCAUCUGGGCAGGCCCCCAGAAGCACGUUGUCAUCUAUGUCCAGGGGUUUCAGGGGAGCGAAGGCUGCGGUAAGAAUCAGGACAAGAUGAUUUUCCAGGGUGUCCUCUCAAGUGUGGAAACCAAAGUCGUGUACGCCUGUCACAACCGAGGUACUCUGAUCUUUGCUACGCGAGCCACUGUGGUCCAUGUGUUAUUUCUGUCCGGGGGUGGCUCCCUAAGCAGUGAAUACAAACAUUUUAAGGGACAGUAUUAUGUAUUUGGAGACUAUGAAGCUGCGGGUUCUUCAAAUGAAACUAUAGUUCCUGGAGAGCCUGUUCAGGAGAGCUGGAGGACAGCAGUAACAAAAGGCUUCCUGCCCACGCUGAGAGCUUCUCUGAGCCCAUCAGCUCUGCCUCCUGCAGACAGGUUCAAGCCUGAGUUCAUAAGCUCAGAUGAAAAAGACCAACACCUUCCUGAUCUUGCAGAAGAUGCCCAGCCCGGCGCUAGCCUGGGCCUGCAUGGUGAGCUGCAGGAUGGAACCAAGAUGGAAAGGAGCCUUCAGGAUGGUGGCACCAAGGGGGAAGAAUCUGACAACAUGGUGGCUCCAGCCAGAGGCGAUGCUGGGCGUGAAGCUGAGCAACCCCCCUUGGAGGCUGCGAAGGGGGAUGUACGGCUGGUAUCUGCUCUGGUCACUGUAGCCCCACGUAGCUCACCUGGUGUCCCAUCUUCAGAGACGCCCAGCAGUACUGCAGGCCUCUCUGACUCCUCUAGCCUGGGACAGGCCAGUGGCACCCUGGCAGCAGAGGUGGUCACCACACAUCGCCUGCCAAUGCUGGAAAAGCCACCGCUAAACACAAGUACAGGACCUUCUCCUCUCUAUCCCUCUCCUGGUGUGACUGCUGGAGGCAUGGUGUCACCACAGGAAAGACACGAAGACCUCUUUGAUCUGGAUUCUGUUCUGGCAUCCCUGGGGAACGGUACAGCACUGCAAUCCCCGCACCACCCAGGCGAUGUGCUGUUUGAAGUAACUACUGAAAUCAAGCACAAGGAGUGGAUCUCUCUUCGUGGAAGUGAGCUCAGAAAAGAUCUUAUCGAAUCCCUUAAGAACCGCAUUCAGCAGAACCUGAAACUCUCUGCCAACAGAGUCAAUGAGAUAAAGUUAAAGCAAGUCAGAAGGACGACCAAUGCCAGCCUGCUGCUCACCUUCUGGCUGCACCUGAAGCCCCAGGAGAGAAAUGUGUCCUUGCUCCUGCACUCCCAGCUGGAAGAGCUGCUGGGCGCCUCAGUGGGAGUGGAGAAGCUGCAGCUGGUCUCGCUGCUAGUGGAAGAUGUGAAUGAGUGCAGCUUGGGAGUCACUCUGUGUGGGGAGGAGGCAGAGUGCUUCAACGGUGUGGGCACCUACUUGUGCCGCUGCAAGAAGGGCUAUGAGGACCGUUCUCCCAUGAAGUCUGGCACGCUGUGCGUUCGUGCUCCCACAUCAGGGAUGGGCUUCCUGCUCCGACACGGUGACAUCCUGGUGGGGGCGGCCAUCAUGGCCUGCCUGGCAAUGCUGGUGGCCGCUGCAGCCAUGUGUGGGGCAAAAUGCUGGGGACAGCGCCCCAGGAGGGACCUGGGGCCUGAGGAGCCACCGGAGAGGCCUGCGGAGGAGCCGGUGAUGGAGCUGCGGGACCUGGAGGACUGCCUGCGCCUCGACCCCUUCCAGCUGAAGCUGCGAGCCAGGCCCCCGGAGUGGCUGUGGGGGGCCCGGGCCCACCCUGGGCAAGCUUACCGUGUCUUCCUGGAGCAGUCCCCCCCACUCUAGGAGAGCCCCGAAAUGCUGCUAGCCACCAUCACCUCUGCUGUUGGUCCUGUCUUCCUCGGCUGCGUGGCCCCUCCUUGUGUCUCUUAUGGACAAACACCUCUCUCACAGUUGUCUUCGUCUUGUCGUUUAUGGCUUUUAAAUGCUUGCUCUGCUUUGGAAGUGAAGAGCUUGCUCACAGCACUCUGUCCUCUCCCACAUUCCCUCCUUGAGAUUUGUGCAGACGCGCCAGUACAUGAAAAAAUAAAUGCUUAUUUUUUUAAGAAAAAAAUAAGAAA
RNAcentral lists this long non-coding RNA (3587 nucleotides) under Anser cygnoides (Swan goose). RNAcentral's name for it is "lncRNA (ENSACDG00005018186.1)". The record is from RNAcentral. Lineage: Eukaryota; Metazoa; Chordata; Aves; Anseriformes; Anatidae.